UUUUAGCCCUGAUAGAAGCGGCAUCCUCCCGACCCUUCGGGAGAUAAAGCGGAUAGCAGGAAGGGGG
Molecule: small RNA, 67 nt
Filed under: Flavobacterium fontis
Lineage: Bacteria; Pseudomonadati; Bacteroidota; Flavobacteriia; Flavobacteriales; Flavobacteriaceae
Description: Flavo-1 RNA
Rfam family: Flavo-1 RNA
Source: Rfam by way of RNAcentral